RNAcentral lists this transfer RNA (71 nucleotides) under Candidatus Methanofastidiosia archaeon. RNAcentral's name for it is "tRNA-Gly". It matches the Rfam family "tRNA". From Rfam's summary of the family: Transfer RNA (tRNA) molecules are approximately 80 nucleotides in length. Their secondary structure includes four short double-helical elements and three loops (D, anti-codon, and T loops). Further hydrogen bonds mediate the characteristic L-shaped molecular structure. tRNAs have two regions of fundamental functional importance: the anti-codon, which is responsible for specific mRNA codon recognition, and the 3' end, to which the tRNAs corresponding amino acid is attached (by aminoacyl-tRNA synthetases). tRNAs cope with the degeneracy of the genetic code in two manners: having more than one tRNA (with a specific anti-codon) for a particular amino acid; and 'wobble' base-pairing, i.e. permitting non-standard base-pairing at the 3rd anti-codon position. The record is from RNAcentral. Lineage: Archaea; Methanobacteriati; Methanobacteriota; Candidatus Methanofastidiosia.
GCGGGUGUAGCACAGUGGUAGUGCAGGAGCCUUCCAAGCUUCUGACGUGAGUUCGAUUCUCAUCACCCGCU